This 73-nucleotide transfer RNA is filed under the name Danio rerio (zebrafish). It matches the Rfam family "tRNA". From Rfam's summary of the family: Transfer RNA (tRNA) molecules are approximately 80 nucleotides in length. Their secondary structure includes four short double-helical elements and three loops (D, anti-codon, and T loops). Lineage: Eukaryota; Metazoa; Chordata; Actinopteri; Cypriniformes; Danionidae. The record is from Rfam by way of RNAcentral.
GCCCGGAUAACUUAGUCGGUAGAGCAUCAGACUUUUAAUCUGAGGGUCCUGGGUUCAAGUCCCUGAUUGGGUG